This 489-nucleotide ribosomal RNA is filed under the name Chytridiales sp. 1 MV-2011. Its description in RNAcentral is "eukaryotic LSU rRNA". The stretch from base 160 to 305 matches the Rfam family "5.8S ribosomal RNA". The record is from RNAcentral. Lineage: Eukaryota; Fungi; Chytridiomycota; Chytridiomycetes; Chytridiales.
AACACCUUGUGAAUUGUUACCCGUACUUGACAAGUUCAUUCGCCUAGAUUUCAGGGAGUGGCCGAGUCCAGCUAUGACUGUUGUCUUAGCUGGAGCUUGUCAUUAGCUUCUUACAAUGUAAUGUCAGCCUAAUACAUAUCAUAUGAAAAAUUAUGAAACAACUUUUGGCAACGGAUUUCUUGGCUCUCGCAACGAUGAAGAACGCAGCGAAAUGCGAUACGUAUCAUGAAUUGCAGAACUCUGAAUGAUAAAUGUUUGAACGCACAUGGCGCCAGCCUUUGGUUGGCAUGUCUGCCUGAGAAUCUUAAAAGUUUUCCUCAACGCAGUUGAAGCGUUGGCUUAUUGACAGCCGUUCGUAAUGAAAGCUGUUGGAAAGUACAUUCUGGAGUGCAUAUGUGCUUUUGACAAACUCAAAUCACCUGCGCACAAUCUAAAACUUGGUCUCAGAUCAGACAGGAGGACCCGCUGAACUUAAGCAUAUCAAUAAGC